GACGAACGCUGGCGGCGUGCUUAACACAUGCAAGUCGAACGGAAAGGCCCUGCUUGCAGGGUACUCGAGUGGCGAACGGGUGAGUAACACGUGGGUGAUCUGCCCUGCACUUCGGGAUAAGCCUGGGAAACUGGGUCUAAUACCGGAUAGGAGCCAUUUUUAGUGUGAUGGUUGGAAAGUUUUUUCGGUGUAGGAUGAGCUCGCGGCCUAUCAGCUUGUUGGUGGGGUAAUGGCCUACCAAGGCGGCGACGGGUAGCCGCCCUGAGAGGGUGGACGGCCACAUUGGGACUGAGAUACGGCCCAGACUCCUACGGGAGGCAGCAGUGGGGAAUAUUGCACAAUGGGCGCAAGCCUGAUGCAGCGACGCCGCGUGGGGGAUGACGGCCUUCGGGUUGUAAACUCCUUUCGCUAGGGACGAAGCUUUUUGUGACGGUACCUAGAUAAGAAGCACCGGCUAACUACGUG
This 465-nucleotide ribosomal RNA is filed under the name uncultured bacterium. Its description in RNAcentral is "partial 16S ribosomal RNA". It matches the Rfam family "Bacterial small subunit ribosomal RNA", at positions 28 to 507 of the family's 1533-position model. The record is from RNAcentral.